GACGAACGCUGGCGGCGUGCUUAACACAUGCAAGUCGAACGGAAAGGCCCUGCUUUUGUGGGGUGCUCGAGUGGCGAACGGGUGAGUAACACGUGAGUAACCUGCCCUUGACUUUGGGAUAACUUCAGGAAACUGGGGCUAAUACCGGAUAGGAGCUCCUGCUGCAUGGUGGGGGUUGGAAAGUUUCGGCGGUUGGGGAUGGACUCGCGGCUUAUCAGCUUGUUGGUGGGGUAGUUGCUUACCAAGGCUUUGACGGGUAGCCGGCAUGAGAGGGUGACCGGCCACAUUGGGACUGAGAUACGGCCCAGACUCCUACGGGAGGCAGCAGUGGGGAAUAUUGCACAAUGGGCGGAAGCCUGAGGCAGCAACGCCGCGUGCGGGAUGACGGCCUUCGGGUUGUAAACCGCUUUCGCCUGUGACGAAGCGUGAGUGACGGUAAUGGGUAAAGAAGCACCGGCUAACUACGUG
RNAcentral lists this ribosomal RNA (468 nucleotides) under uncultured bacterium. RNAcentral describes it as "partial 16S ribosomal RNA". It matches the Rfam family "Bacterial small subunit ribosomal RNA", at positions 28 to 507 of the family's 1533-position model. The record is from RNAcentral.